UUUUUUUUUUAUAACUCAUCCGUUUAAAUUAUAUUAAGCCUUAAAGUUCUGCAUAAUCAAGGGCGUGGCCAUUUGAGUGACAGGUGGAUUGCUGCUGCUGUCACCACCGUCGAGCUAGGUGGGCGUGGUUUCAGCAACCAGCUCCCAACUCUUUGCCCAUUUUCAAAUAUCCGGGAGUGACGCGCGGUGAUGCGCUGCAAAGAUGGUGACGGCUGGCUCUGCCCACUUUGAGCUUCAAAAACGCUCUUCGUAAACCUACAGGUGAUGUCACAGACACUACGUCCAUGUUUUUAUUCAGUCUAUGGUUGGAACACAGUGAAUGAAUCUAGAACCUUCGACUGACACACAGAUCCACGCAAGUCACUGAACUCGGUCCGGUCCAGCUCCUUUCACACCGCAGUGUUGUGUUUCUUGUUGAUCUGCAUGUUAACAUAGACACUCUCAUGCUGGGCUUUACUAGCGCAUGCAUUGUUUAUUCCGCUAGUAUAUUGGUGGAAUAUAUGGAACUAUACAAACUGUGUGGGGGAAACUUAAACUGAACCAUACACUAUAAACUACAACCAAGACAUUGCUGAAAAUGUGUGUGUGAAUUUGUUUACUAAAUGCUGCUGACACUGCUGCAAAGUCUGAUAUAUUCAAAUAAUUAUUCAAAAAUAUAUAAUUUCCUUGCAGCCAGUGGACCCCCUUCCCAGUGGAGGCCCCUGGGCUUCAGCCCGUGCAUUAAUGUGCCCCUGAAGUCUUUAUUCAUUUCAGUGUUAUUUUUUUAUUUUUAUAUAUAAACCACUGUACAAAACCACACUUCAAGUGUAGAAUAUUAAAAAAUAAUUUCCAAACUUUAGUCAUAUUAACACUCACUGUACUAAAUUGACAUUCAUUUCAGACAUACACUUAAAGUCAGAAAAAGAGCAAAACCAAACACAGUUUGAGUUCCGCUGUGUUUCCUCUUAAAGUUCACAAAAGCUUGAGUUCAUUACAGUCACAUAUACAAAUAUACACACUGAUCAGACAGAUCAAUAAUAUACUGUUAUUUCACAGAAACUUGUAUAAAACAGAAAUCUGGUUUUAAACCAACAACAGAGUUAUAUAUUGAGUAGUUUGAGACACAAGAGAUAGUAGAGUAUGUAGUUUAGUGGAGUUCAAAUAAAGCUUGUGUGUUUCAUGAGCAGCACAUGAAAAGUCAAACAAAACUCAAUAGUUUUGUUUUGCUGAAUCAAUAUUAUAUCACUUGUUCAGGACAAUUAAUGUUGCCAUCAUCAUUUUUGAUGCACAGAAACAUCCUUUUCUGGAACCCAAAAGAUUGUUUUUUGCAAAUUAUUGUCAUUAAGAUGAUGAUGAGGAUGAGGAUGACAGAUAAGCCCACAACUGGAGUGAUGACAGCAUCCAUAGAUCCAUCAUUCUUUGAUCCUUUAUCUUCAAGUACAUCUGCUUUGUGUAAUGAUGACUCUGGAAGAUGAAUUUAUGUUUAAUGUUUUAUGAUAGUGUUAAAGUCAUAAACUCAACUUCAGCCUAUCAACCUGCAGACAGUCAGAUUCUCCACACAGACCUUCACAAAACACUUCUGCUCCUGAGAAUCUGAUCAAACUGAUUUCACAGGUAAAUCUACACAUCUCUAUUCUGAUUGUAAUAUCUCGAGAGAUGCAUUACUAUUUAGAAACCAUGAUCAUGCAACAGUUAGGCCAUACACAUGGCAGUAAAUUGCAAACAUUUUUUGAAAUAUAAAC
Cyprinus carpio carpio is the source of this 1721-nucleotide long non-coding RNA. Lineage: Eukaryota; Metazoa; Chordata; Actinopteri; Cypriniformes; Cyprinidae. The record is from Ensembl.